Molecule: ribosomal RNA, 914 nt
Filed under: Panus cf. fasciatus DMC 696
Lineage: Eukaryota; Fungi; Basidiomycota; Agaricomycetes; Polyporales; Panaceae
Description: LSU rRNA
Rfam family: Eukaryotic large subunit ribosomal RNA
Source: RNAcentral
AAGCAUAUCAAUAAGCGGAGGAAAAGAAACUAACAAGGAUUCCCCUAGUAACUGCGAGUGAAGCGGGAAAAGCUCAAAUUUAAAAUCUGGCAGUCUUUGGCUGUCCGAAUUGUAUUCUGGAGAAGCGUUUUCCGCGCUGGACCGUGUACAAGUCUCUUGGAAUAGAGCGUCAUAGAGGGUGAGAAUCCCGUCUUUGACACGGACUACCAGUGCUUUGUGAUGCGCUCUCAAAGAGUCGAGUUGUUUGGGAAUGCAGCUCAAAAUGGGUGGUGAAUUCCAUCUAAAGCUAAAUAUUGGCGAGAGACCGAUAGCGAACAAGUACCGUGAGGGAAAGAUGAAAAGCACUUUGGAAAGAGAGUUAAACAGUACGUGAAAUUGCUGAAAGGGAAACGCUUGAAGUCAGUCGCGUCAGUCAGAACUCAGCCCGGCUUUUGCUUGGUGUAUUUUCUGGUUGACGGGCCAGCAUCAAUUUUGACCGCUGGAAAAAGGCCAUAGGAAUGUGGCACCCUCGGGUGUGUUAUAGCCUAUGGUCAUAUGCAGCGAUUGGGAUUGAGGACCGCAGCACGCCUUUAUGGUUGGGGUUCGCCCACAUUCGUGCUUAGGAUGCUGGCGUAAUGGCUUUAAACGACCCGUCUUGAAACACGGACCAAGGAGUCUAACAUGCCUGCGAGUGUUUGGGUGGAAAACCCGAGCGCACAAUGAAAGUGAAAGUUGGGAUCCCUGUCGUGGGGAGCACCGACGCCCGGACCAGACCUUUUGUGACGGAUCCGCGGUAGAGCAUGUAUGUUGGGACCCGAAAGAUGGUGAACUAUGCCUGAAUAGGGUGAAGCCAGAGGAAACUCUGGUGGAGGCUCGUAGCGAUUCUGACGUGCAAAUCGAUCGUCAAAUUUGGGUAUAGGGGCGAAAGACUAAUC